AUGAACGCUGGCGGCGUGCCUAAUACAUGCAAGUCGAGCGAACAGACGAGGAGCUUGCUCCUCUGACGUUAGCGGCGGACGGGUGAGUAACACGUGGAUAACCUACCUAUAAGACUGGGAUAACUUCGGGAAACCGGAGCUAAUACCGGAUAAUAUAUUGAACCGCAUGGUUCAAUAGUGAAAGACGGUUUUGCUGUCACUUAUAGAUGGAUCCGCGCCGCAUUAGCUAGUUGGUAAGGUAACGGCUUACCAAGGCGACGAUGCGUAGCCGACCUGAGAGGGUGAUCGGCCACACUGGAACUGAGACACGGUCCAGACUCCUACGGGAGGCAGCAGUAGGGAAUGUUCCGCAAUGGGCGAAAGCCUGACGGAGCAACGCCGCGUGAGUGAUGAAGGUCUUCGGAUCGUAAAACUCUGUUAUUAGGGAAGAACAAAUGUGUAAGUAACUAUGCACGUCUUGACGGUACCUAAUCAGAAAGCCACGGCUAACUACGUG
RNAcentral lists this ribosomal RNA (496 nucleotides) under uncultured bacterium. RNAcentral's name for it is "partial 16S ribosomal RNA". It matches the Rfam family "Bacterial small subunit ribosomal RNA", at positions 29 to 507 of the family's 1533-position model. The record is from RNAcentral.